CUUCGUCUGGAUUCGAAGGGCACGGAAGAAAAGGGGGAAUGGUAGGGAGAGGAGGAAGGGGAGCAGGAGGAGGAAGAGAACGAAGAGGAGGAGGAGGAGGGACGUGUUUGCUUGGUUUGGACAUGCGCCCUCUGUAUUCUCUCCACAGGUUUGAAGAGAAACACAUGGGGGGGUUUAGGUUUUUCAAAGUGCGAGGGAUGGCGCGCAAAAGGAAUGGAUUGGAAAGGAAUGGAAAGAAGAAAAGAAUAGUAGGUAGAGAUAGUAGAGUUGAGUCGAGUUGAGAGAAGAAGAUGAAGACGAAGAAGAAGAAGAUGAAGAAGAAGAAGACGAGACGACGUUUACUCGUCGUCCUCGAGGCGCUCAGAUCCGCAAGGGCCCUCGAGCAACAACGUCUCGUGGCCGUGAGAAAGUGUGUGCAUUAUACGUGUGCUCAAUCGUUUCUCUUGUGUGUAUGUAUAAUACACAGUAUACUGACCGUGACAACGGUAGGACGAAGAUCACUGGCGAAGUACGUCGUUUUGAAUCCACCGGCAAGCAGUUUCAAAAGAAGUGUAGUUGUUGGUUGUUGCGUCGGUAAUAACAACAAUAACAACAGC
This 596-nucleotide long non-coding RNA is filed under the name Polistes fuscatus (common paper wasp). RNAcentral describes it as "uncharacterized LOC122526348". The record is from RNAcentral. Lineage: Eukaryota; Metazoa; Arthropoda; Insecta; Hymenoptera; Vespidae.